This 444-nucleotide ribosomal RNA is filed under the name uncultured bacterium. RNAcentral describes it as "partial 16S ribosomal RNA". It matches the Rfam family "Bacterial small subunit ribosomal RNA", at positions 339 to 795 of the family's 1533-position model. The record is from RNAcentral.
CUACGGGCGGCAGCAGUGGGGAAUAUUGGGCAAUGGAGGAAACUCUGACCCAGCGACGCCGCGUGAGGGAUGAAGGCCUUCGGGUUGUAAACCUCUUUCAGCAGGGAAUAAGCGAAAGUGAAGGUACCUGCAGAAGAAGCACCGGCUAACUAUGUGCCAGCAGCCGCGGUAAUACAUAGGGUGCAAGCGUUGUCCGGAAUUAUUGGGCGUAAAGAGCUCGUAGGUGGUCGAUCACGUCGGAUGUGAAAUUCUGAGGCCUAACCUCGGACCUGCAUUCGAUACGGGUUGACUAGAGUGUGGUAGGGGAGACUGGAAUUCCUGGUGUAGCGGUGGAAUGCGCAGAUAUCAGGAGGAACACCGAUGGCGAAGGCAGGUCUCUGGGCCAUUACUGACACUGAGGAGCGAAAGCGUGGGGAGCGAACAGGAUUAGAUACCCGUGUAGUC